This 290-nucleotide long non-coding RNA is filed under the name Ananas comosus (pineapple). RNAcentral's name for it is "long non-coding RNA (ACOM_LNC030459)". The record is from RNAcentral. Lineage: Eukaryota; Viridiplantae; Streptophyta; Magnoliopsida; Poales; Bromeliaceae.
UAGUAAAGUACUCUGGAGACUCGUGCCACGGUGGAGCGACCACCGACAGCGAAAACAGACUAGUGAGUAUGAUCCAAUCCUCUUAAGAGGAUACCCUAUCUACAAGGGUCAAUGUGCCUCUGCUGCACAAUAUACAAUGCAUCCUAGAUGCCGGGACCUCUACUAUCCCAAGAACCAUGUCAUGUUUACUACACUAGACUCGAUGCCACUCGUUCAGUCGUUGUAGUAAUAUCUUCUAACUAGUCGACAUGUCACUCGUUCAAGUUUAGUGUUUCUACUAUACUAGUCAA